Molecule: transfer RNA, 64 nt
Filed under: Ornithodoros turicata
Lineage: Eukaryota; Metazoa; Arthropoda; Arachnida; Ixodida; Argasidae
Also listed under: 1 other name
Description: tRNA-His
Source: RNAcentral
UAUCUGGUUAGUUUAUAUUUAAAAUGUUAAAUUGUGGAUUUAAUGAGGAGUUAUCACUAGAUAA